This is a long non-coding RNA of Polypterus senegalus (gray bichir), 1801 nucleotides long. RefSeq lists it as uncharacterized. NCBI's taxonomy places the organism in Eukaryota, Metazoa, Chordata, Cladistia, Polypteriformes, Polypteridae. The transcript has 3 exons. The record is from RefSeq and is a predicted model, not a curated record.
CAGUUAGUGAAGUUUGAAUGGAUUUUCUAGUUUACAGAUAAGUUGCCCUUAGACAAGCUCAGUAUUUUAGAAAGAUCUAUGGUAAGCAUUAAUAUUUAUUUUGAUUAAAAAUAAUCUUAGAAAUGUAUGUACCUGUAAUAUAAUUCAAAUGCAGUGUUCAGACGAGUUAUGUUUAUAUAUCUGAUUUCUUUUUAGGAAACAGCAAUGACAGUUGUUACUCUGCAUCCAUCAUGGCUUCUCCUUCUCCUUCACCUUCAUCUUCAAGUUCUGCUUCUCCACGUCGACUGUAUACUGCUACAAUCCCAAACUGUCACUGAUGGUUUUCAGAUACCAUACUUGAAAUUCCCAGAGGAUUUAACGCAAUCCCUGGAAAGGGGCAAAAGACCAGGCCCACAUUUACGCCAUGAAAUGAUCAGAAUAAUUAUCAAAGAAAUCAUGAAAGUAUGUCCUAACCCUACAAAAAGCAGCAUCACUGAGGUUGCUAAAAAAAAUGGUCGCAAAAUACCAUGAAUCUCUUCAAGAUGUAAUUGAGGGAGAAGUUAUAGGCACUGGAUAUGACUCCUUAGUGCAACAACUUGGGUCCCGGGUUGAAAAUGUAAAGCGAUUCAGUCAUCAGAAGAUCAGGAAGAGAACACUGCAGUCUGAUAAUGACACAGAAGAACUGUCUCCAGAAAAGAGAGCUGCUAUGCAAGAUACAUAUGGAUGGAUCAAAUGGGAGUUGCCACAUAUACCUCUUCAAGAAACAGCAGAAAGUUUGCUAGAAAAAAAAUGACUCUCAGAAAUAAUUACAUGGCAGCCAAGUGGAAUACGGAUGAAGUACAGCAAGAUAUGCAGUCAACUUAUUAUUCUCAGAGAAAAGAAGUAAACCAGGGCACCAGCAUUCCUCAACUUUUAGAGGACUGGCCUUUUCUUUUUAACGAGAUUGGCAUGGCAGUUCAUUUUAAAUAACUCACAGGUAUUCAGCUUAAAGAAACCUUUCUUAGUAGUCUUGACAAAAAAGGAAAACGACUGCUUAACUAUAUGAGACAUGUUGCUGCUGAAAAGAAUAGACGGGUCCUUCAGACCUUGACAAAGCUAGAUGUUCCUCAGAGUCAUCUGCAAGGCUGCUCGGCUGAGAUAACAAAUAUAAUCCUGCUGCUACUAGCUUACUUUGAUGAGAAGGAAGAACACGUGAUUCACUCUGUUAAAAAGACGGCUCUCACUUAGGAAUUACAAGCAGAACAGCUUCCUUUGACACCCUGCAUUAUUAUUUGUGAUGUUUCUUCAAAAUCAAUCCUGGAAAAGGAACAAAAGUGGAAUGGAAAAAGUCCAGGAAGCAGUACUCUGUGAACCCCUGAGUUCUGUCACUCAUCUCAGCUCUGUAAAUAGUGAAGUGUUUUCACGGUGACUUCUAGCAAAACUACAAGUAGAAGGAAGAAGUCAUUCAAGAGUUACAUAUUCACUGAGUGUCAACCACUCAUGAUUUUGUUAAUGAUUGUUAAACUUUUUAUUCUUUUUUCAAUAUUAUUGCUUAAAAUAAGCUUUAUUGUUUUGUUAUUAACAUACAGCAUUUGCAUGGCAAAAAAGAUGAUCAAUAUAAUGUGAGAGAUUUGUGCAACUUCUAAUCUUUAGAAAGUUGAUAAAACAUAAGGGCCUCUUGUGUCACCUCAACUGAAUCUUAACAGCAACUCAGUGCGUGCCGUCUGUGCCUGCAGAGGAUGUAUAUUGGAAAAGAGCAGAACAUUAUUACUGGUUCUGCAAUAAACAAUGCAUUCCUUAUCUGUUUAAAGAUGUUCCUUACUAAUUAUUUGACUGAUACCUU